GGGCUUGUGGUCUAGUUGGUUAUGACGUCGCCCUUACACGGCGGAGGUCACCGGUUCGAAUCCGGUCAGGCCCA
This 74-nucleotide transfer RNA is filed under the name Methanomicrobiales archaeon HGW-Methanomicrobiales-1. RNAcentral describes it as "tRNA-Val". It matches the Rfam family "tRNA". Rfam says of the family: Transfer RNA (tRNA) molecules are approximately 80 nucleotides in length. Their secondary structure includes four short double-helical elements and three loops (D, anti-codon, and T loops). RNAcentral also lists the same sequence under 2 other names. The record is from RNAcentral. Lineage: Archaea; Methanobacteriati; Methanobacteriota; Methanomicrobia; Methanomicrobiales.